Molecule: ribosomal RNA, 254 nt
Filed under: uncultured bacterium
Lineage: Bacteria
Description: partial 16S ribosomal RNA
Rfam family: Bacterial small subunit ribosomal RNA
Source: RNAcentral
UACGGGGGGGGGCAAGCGUUGUUCGGAAUUACUGGGCGUAAAGGGCUCGUAGGCGGCCAACUAAGUCGGAUGUGAAAUCCCCAAGCUUAACUUGGGAACUGCAUCCGAUACUGGAUGGCUUGAAUCCGGGAGAGGGAUGCAGAAUUCCAGGUGUAGCGGUGAAAUGCGUAGAUAUCUGGAGGAAUACCGGUGGCGAAGGCGGCAUCCUGGACCGGCAUUGACGCUGAGGAGCGAAAGCUAGGGGAGCAAACGGG